UCGAGAAUCUUCCGCAAUGCACGAAAGUGUGACGGAGCGACACCGCGUGAUUGAUGAAGCCCUUCGGGGUGUAAAGGUCUUUUAUAGAUGAAGAAGUAUAUUGACAUUAGUCUAUGAAUAAGGGGCUCCUAAUCUCGUGCCAGCAGGAGCGGUAAUACGAGAGCCCCGAGCGUUAUUCGGAAUUAUUGGGCGUAAAGGGUGCGUAGGUGGCUGUGUUAGUCGUAUGUCAAAUACCUGGGCUCAACCCGGGAAAGGCACGCGAAACGGCACAGCUUGAGUAUGUGAGAGGUGUGCGGAACUCAAGGUGUAGGGGUGAAAUCCGUUGAUAUCUUGGGGAACACCAAAUGCGAAGGCAGCACACUGGCACAUUACUGACACUCAAGCACGAAAGCGUGGGUAG
RNAcentral lists this ribosomal RNA (400 nucleotides) under uncultured bacterium. Its description in RNAcentral is "bacterial SSU rRNA". It matches the Rfam family "Bacterial small subunit ribosomal RNA", at positions 355 to 768 of the family's 1533-position model. The record is from RNAcentral.